RNAcentral lists this ribosomal RNA (360 nucleotides) under uncultured bacterium. Its description in RNAcentral is "bacterial SSU rRNA". It matches the Rfam family "Bacterial small subunit ribosomal RNA", at positions 28 to 414 of the family's 1533-position model. The record is from RNAcentral.
GAUGAACGCUGGCGGCAGGCUUAACACAUGCAAGUCGAACGGGUGUAGCAAUACAUCAGUGGCAGACGGGUGAGUAACACGUGGGAACCUUCCUAGGGGUACGGAACAACUCAGGGAAACUUGAGCUAAUACCGUAUACGUCCGUAAGGAGAAAGAUUUAUCGCCCUUAGACGGGCCCGCGUCGGAUUAGCUAGUUGGUGGGGUAACGGCCUACCAAGGCGACGAUCCGUAGCUGGUCUGAGAGGAUGAUCAGCCACACUGGGACUGAGACACGGCCCAGACUCCUACGGGAGGCAGCAGUGGGGAAUAUUGGACAAUGGGCGAAAGCCUGAUCCAGCAAUGCCGCGUGAGUGAAGAAGG